CUGUCAGAAACAGUAAAAAGGAGUAUCAGUACAGAAUACAGAUAUUCAAGAAGCAAUAGGAGAGGGAAAUAUGCUGCAUGACACCACCUACAUAGAAUGUCACUAAAAUGAACAAGUGAGACAGAUCAUGAAAGUAAUAUUAUCCAACAAGAUAGGCAUAUCUAGAAGCAGGUCCCAUGAUGCGUAUUGUUUGCUGAUGACAUUCACAUUGUUUUAUUUCAUGAGACUAGAACAGCUAUAAAUUUUAAGCUACAACUAUGGGAAAGUUACAGAAUCCAAAGAUUUUGUGGCAAGUCAGACUAAAAAGUGUAUAUGGUAUAAGACUUUAGCAAGAUCAGGGAAUAAUGGUAUUGGCAAUCAGAAGGUACCUAAAUCAAAAGUUAAUUGUUUAUUAUCAGGGAGAACAUUCCAAGUAGAAUGCAGGAUGGUUAAAGUGGAGAACUGCUUCUCAGGUAUUGUUUGAUUGUUAAGUACCCAUCAAAUUCAAAGGAAAUAUUUCUCAAAAAAUAGCAAUGGCCAGUGUUCAAAGAAACAGGUUUAAAAAAUUGGCACAGCUACAAUGGAGGAAUAAGAAGCAAAUACAUCCAUGGUAGAUGAUAAGGGAGUUACCAACAAACGCAGCAGUAAGGAUAAAUGAUUUGAUUCACAGUGAUUUAAUUUGUGCUGAAGGUGCUCCAAGGGCAUUUUCCCAUAGAACUUUUGGGCUUUAAAGUGAUAUUCAGGCUUACUUUAUCAUGAUAAUAUACUGCAGUCAUGCUAAUGCAACUUUGUACACACCAAGCCAACCCAACUUUGCCUUGUUCCCACUAUGCAGAGUCUUUCAUCCCUCUUGUUCAGCCACUCCAUUGGAUAUUUUGGGGAUUCCCGUUCAUAUGAUUGGAUCAAUGUUUUAAAGACUCCAGACAAGAAAAGUGGUUGGCUCACUCUGGAACAGCUUAGCCAAAAUGUUCAUGACACAAAAACAGGUGGAAAAACUAUAAAAAAAAUAUUAGAAAAGAAAAAAAAAAAGAGAAACAAAUAUGAUCAGCAAGUAAGAAGUUAUAAAAAUAAUCUAAUAUAAUUUGAGAGCAUAAUACUGCUAACAUAAGGAGUAUGCCAUAAAUAUUAUUUUAAUCUUUUAAAUGGUAAAAGGUCAAGGAGACUAGGAUAUCAACCAAAUUAAAAGCCAAAUGCCGUCCAACCAGUUCAGACAUCUAGUCCAGUUUUAAUAUGACUAAAGGUUUCACACCACCUGAUCACUUUGAAUAACCUCCCUAUUGAGGGCAUGGGACAGUGACUUGACAUGUUUCCUCCAAGUGAAUUUUUCUUCCCUCAUGGUGCCCAUCUCAAAAACUUUGGAACAGAAACAUAAAUCUCACUUCAAUCCUAUCAUCAACAGUAUCCUUCUUACAAAGCCUCACUAGGUAAACAUCAUUCCCCUUUUCUUUUAUAACAAAAAUUUGUUAUUUUGGAACAUUGCACAUGUAUGAAUGGACAAAUCAGAAAAGAUCAAGAGCAAUCUAGCAUAAACUAAAAUACUAAUGGUACAGAACUCCAUACUACCAAUGCCUCGACUCCUCUACCUUGAAUUUAAGCUCAAAUAGUAGAUAGUGUCAAGGAACAUAAGGUGUGGCAAAUAUAGGGAACCUCAAUGCAAAACAUAGGUAUAAAGAAGACUCAAUUAAUUCAGAAGAUAAAGCUGGAACUAUUCACGAUAUGUGAAGAAUAUAAUGAAUUGUAACAGACAAGAUAGGAAUUAAGAACUAGUUUUUUUUUUUUUUCCUUUUGAUAAGUAGGAAUUAGGAACAUAGUGGGACAGACAUUACAGCUAGAGUAUUGAAUAAUAACAAGUAAAUAAGCAAUCAUAUUAUAACUGCAUAAAAACUUAGAGCAAGAAAGAACAUUAUUUUCCUUUUCUAUCCCUGCUGGGACUUGACCUCCCAUUUCUCCACCCCAACCCCUUUCCACUUGAGCCAGUCUUCAAGGACAGCAAGAAAGAACAUUAUUCAGCACCAUGUGUGUGUGUAUGAGUGAAUGAGUGAAUGAGUGAGAGAGAGUGAAUGCGUGUGUAUGUGAGAAAGAGAGAGUUAGUAAAAUAGAUGCAGACUCAGCAAAUUUGCCUUAAAAUGAUUCAACAACGGUAGAAUAUAAUUUGUUGCAUUGUCUUUCAGAUCAAGGAUACUUGAAACUUAC
RNAcentral lists this long non-coding RNA (2172 nucleotides) under Vitis vinifera (wine grape). RNAcentral's name for it is "long non-coding RNA (VVIN_LNC004404)". Lineage: Eukaryota; Viridiplantae; Streptophyta; Magnoliopsida; Vitales; Vitaceae. The record is from RNAcentral.